RNAcentral lists this small RNA (80 nucleotides) under Halpernia humi. RNAcentral describes it as "Chryseobacterium humi Flavo-1 RNA". It matches the Rfam family "Flavo-1 RNA". The record is from RNAcentral. Lineage: Bacteria; Pseudomonadati; Bacteroidota; Flavobacteriia; Flavobacteriales; Weeksellaceae.
ACCUAGCCCUGAUAGGAACGGCAUCCUUUUUCUUUUUUUAACAAAAAAAGAAAAAGAUAGAGUGGAUAGCAGGUAGAGUU